AUGUCAUCAAGGAGGGAGCGAUUCAGUUUAAUAAAAUUGAAAACAGAAAAGAAGAAACGAACAUCAAACUCAGUGAAAUGCAACAGCAACUGCAAUCUUUGCAAGCACGGUAAGUACGCUGCUUCUCACAGAAGAGACAGUGUCAGUCAGAUGUUUGUAACUG
Long non-coding RNA from Exaiptasia diaphana, 163 nucleotides. RefSeq lists it as uncharacterized. The transcript is spliced from 3 exons. The record is from RefSeq and is a predicted model, not a curated record. NCBI's taxonomy places the organism in Eukaryota, Metazoa, Cnidaria, Anthozoa, Actiniaria, Aiptasiidae.